This 571-nucleotide ribosomal RNA is filed under the name uncultured Glomeromycotina. Its description in RNAcentral is "SSU rRNA". It matches the Rfam family "Eukaryotic small subunit ribosomal RNA", at positions 548 to 1114 of the family's 1831-position model. Lineage: Eukaryota; Fungi; Glomeromycota. The record is from RNAcentral.
UUGGAGGGCAAGUCUGGUGCCAGCAGCCGCGGUAAUUCCAGCUCCAAUAGCGUAUAUUAAAGUUGUUGCAGUUAAAAAGCUCGUAGUUGAAUUUCGGGAUUGACGUGAUGCCAUGCCUUAAGGGGUAUGAACUGUCGCAGUUGAUUUCUCACCUUCUGGAGAAACUUGAUGUCCUUUAUUGGGUGUCUUGCGGAUCCAGGACCUUUACCUUGAAAAAAUUAGAGUGUUUAAAGCAGGCAUUUUUGCUCGAAUACAUUAGCAUGGAAUAAUAGAAUAGGACGGCAUGGUUCUAUUUUGUUGGUUUCUAGGAUCACCGUAAUGAUUAAUAGGGAUAGUUGGGGGCAUUAGUAUUCAAUUGUCAGAGGUGAAAUUCUUGGAUUUAUUGAAGACUAACUACUGCGAGAGCAUUUGCCAAGGAUGUUUUCAUUAAUCAAGAACGAAAGUUAGGGGAUCGAAGACGAUCAGAUACCGUCGUAGUCUUAACCAUAAACUAUGCCGACUAGGAAUCAGACGAUGUUAAUUUUUUAAUGACUCGUUUGGCACCUUACGGGAAACCAAAGUGUUUGGGUUC